GUCCCUACGGGGGGCAGCAGUGGGGAAUAUUGCACAAUGGGGGGAACCCUGAUGCAGCGACGCCGCGUGGGUGAAGGAGUAUUUCGGUAUGUAAAGCCCUAUCAGCAGGGAAGAACAAUGACGGUACCUGACUAAGAAGCACCGGCUAAAUACGUGCCAGCAGCCGCGGUAAUACGUAGGGGGCAAGCGUUAUCCGGAAUUACUGGGUGUAAAGGGAGCGUAGACGGCAAUGCAAGUCCGGAGUGGAAUGCGGCAGCUCAACUGCCGAACUGCUCUGGAAACUGUAUGGCUUGAGUGCAGGAGGG
This 305-nucleotide ribosomal RNA is filed under the name uncultured bacterium. RNAcentral's name for it is "bacterial SSU rRNA". It matches the Rfam family "Bacterial small subunit ribosomal RNA", at positions 335 to 656 of the family's 1533-position model. The record is from RNAcentral.